AAUCAACGCUGGCGGCGUGCCUCAGACGUGCAAGUCGAACGAUUAAAGCUCUCUUCGGAGAGUGUAUAGAGUGGCGCACGGGUGAGUAACACGUAAGUAAUCUACCUUCGAGUGGGAAGUAACAUCGGGAACCGGAUGCUAAUACCGCAUAAUGCAGCGGCAUCGCAAGAUGACAGUUGUUAAAGGAAUUUAUUUCGCUUGAAGAGGAGCUUGCGGCAGAUUAGCUAGUUGGUAAGGUAAUGGCUUACCAAGGCUACGAUCUGUAACCGGUCUAAGAGGACGGUCGGUCACACUGACACUGAAUAACGGGUCAGACUCCUACGGGGAGGCAGCAGUCGGGAAUUUUGGCAAUGGGCGAAAGCCUGACGCAGCGACGCCGCGUGAGGGGA
RNAcentral lists this ribosomal RNA (389 nucleotides) under uncultured bacterium. RNAcentral's name for it is "bacterial SSU rRNA". It matches the Rfam family "Bacterial small subunit ribosomal RNA", at positions 32 to 409 of the family's 1533-position model. The record is from RNAcentral.